RNAcentral lists this long non-coding RNA (1031 nucleotides) under Chloebia gouldiae (Gouldian finch). Its description in RNAcentral is "Erythrura gouldiae (Gouldian finch) lncRNA (ENSEGOG00005014370.1)". The record is from RNAcentral. Lineage: Eukaryota; Metazoa; Chordata; Aves; Passeriformes; Passeridae.
CAUGUAUUUUGUCUGUUUAUAUGUGUUUGCUGUACAAACUCCUGCAGACCACAGUGGUGGAUGUCCCUCCUGAAAUGGCACUUUCUGCCCUAUUCACACCAGAAGGCAACUGGAACUCACGUGUGAUUCUCCAUCCUCCUAGCACUUCAUAGAGACAUCUGACCAGAGACUGCCGAUGCACAGGCAGCUGGAGUAUGUGCUGUCUUAUACAGAGAAGGAGUGUGGGAAUAAGUAAACAGAAGGGCCAGAAAUCCUCACUCUAGGGAAGUGUGGAACUGAUAGUGGAAGACUGUCAAUUUAGAAUAUCCCUAGAAUUAUAGGACAUGAGUUCAAGGCAUACAUAAAUCCAGAUUUCAGAGGCUUGAGCUCAGGUAAGACUCUAGACUACAUGACAUUUGUAAGUACAGGAUAUCUACAGUGAUUUCAUGUAUUUAAAACCUUUUCUCAAUCAAACUAAGACAAAUUAGUUUCAACAGAAAAAAAAAAAUAUCCUGGAAGUAAUUCCCAGAAUUUUGAAUGAAGAAAUUUUCAAAAAUUCAAAUUUAAGAUAUUACUUUACUUGAAAACUGUUUCAGGCUGAGGUAGGAUUUGAAUCUUAAUUGUCAUAGCCCUACAAAAUUAUUCUACAUAUAGGAGUUUAUCACAUACAUAAUUACCUUAUUCUAGUUUGUAUUCUAGAACAAACAUGUCUGGAUGAGACAGUUAUUCAGUAAGGAUACUGCUUUUAUUCUUGAAUAAUUCCAUGUGCAGUCAAGCUCUCAGUCAAAUCACCACAACUCUGUAUGCAGAUGAAUUGUCAGUCUCUGCUUGAAUUUACAGGAAAUCUGUAUCUCUGUUACUAAAUGCAGCUGACAGAUCUGAAAAUGUCACAUUUGUUUGUGGAGUAGGCAGAGACCUUACAAGUUCUCACCCCUAUUAGCCUACUACUUAUGUCCUUUGCAGGUGUUAUGAAGUUCAUAUCCUUCUUAUUUUGUGCUAAAUGUCAUUAGCAAACUAAUAAAUGCUAUGGAGAGAAGGAAAAGUUUUUUCCU